UACGAACCGUCCAAACGUUAUUCGGAAUCACUGGGCUUACAGAGUUCGUAGGCGGCGGAGAAAGUAGGGUGUGAAAGCCCUCGGCCUAACCGAGGAAUAGCGCCCUAAACUACUUCGCUUGAGGAGGCUAGAGGUGAGCAGAACAGAUGGUGGAGCGGUGAAAUGCGUUGAUAUCAUCUGGAAUACCGGAGGCGAAGGCGGCUAACUGGGACCUUUCUGACGCUGAGGAACGAAAGCUAGGGUAGCGAACGGG
RNAcentral lists this ribosomal RNA (253 nucleotides) under uncultured bacterium. RNAcentral's name for it is "partial 16S ribosomal RNA". It matches the Rfam family "Bacterial small subunit ribosomal RNA", at positions 524 to 776 of the family's 1533-position model. The record is from RNAcentral.